This 84-nucleotide transfer RNA is filed under the name Fasciola hepatica (liver fluke). It matches the Rfam family "tRNA". From Rfam's summary of the family: Transfer RNA (tRNA) molecules are approximately 80 nucleotides in length. Their secondary structure includes four short double-helical elements and three loops (D, anti-codon, and T loops). Further hydrogen bonds mediate the characteristic L-shaped molecular structure. tRNAs have two regions of fundamental functional importance: the anti-codon, which is responsible for specific mRNA codon recognition, and the 3' end, to which the tRNAs corresponding amino acid is attached (by aminoacyl-tRNA synthetases). tRNAs cope with the degeneracy of the genetic code in two manners: having more than one tRNA (with a specific anti-codon) for a particular amino acid; and 'wobble' base-pairing, i.e. permitting non-standard base-pairing at the 3rd anti-codon position. The record is from Rfam by way of RNAcentral. Lineage: Eukaryota; Metazoa; Platyhelminthes; Trematoda; Plagiorchiida; Fasciolidae.
GGCCUCGUGGCUCAGCUGGUAGAGCACUCGCAAUACUAAAGCGAGGGCGGUGUCCACGCGUGGGUUCGAAUCCCGCCGGGGCCA